Molecule: non-coding RNA, 70 nt
Organism: Podarcis lilfordi (Lilford's wall lizard)
Lineage: Eukaryota; Metazoa; Chordata; Lepidosauria; Squamata; Lacertidae
Source: the annotation of a GenBank genome assembly
GUGUUAGCUCAGUCAGUAGAGCGUGAAACGCUUAAUCUCAUGGUCGUGGGUUUGAGCCCCAUGUUGGGCA